GUAUCGCUGGAAAGUCUUUAAGAGUUGGAUUUGUCUUUACAAGCCAGGUAACUGAAGCAGCUGUUUAGGAAACGUCAUAGGAGUGGUCAGGGAGCCAAGAAGGCUCGGAAGAGAACCUAUGUCCUGCUUGUCAUUCAUUCCAUUGAAGCAUUAGCAGCCGAAGGCAUUGUCAAGUAAUCUACAGAGAAUAAUGAGGCCUUGGGGAUGAGAUCACGAGAGUAGCUUACCCUAUUCAAACUGUUUCUUGUACCAUUGACUUGUGGGCGUGUAUCCCUUUGACUUGGUAUGGGCUCAUGUUUGGGCUUGAUCCAUUGGCCCAUAUCAUGGGGCUGUUCAAUUUGGGCCAGCUGGGUAGACAUCUGAUAUAUUAGAAGUAACAAUUUUGUGCUUGAGUAAUUUCAAUUGUAAUCGUGGGCUUGAAGCAGGAGGACCAGUGCAAGAAACAAAAUUAAAAGGAGCAGCAGUGAAGGCUAUAGAUAGAACGGGAAGGGUGUGUUUGUGUUUUAACCUUUCUUUUCUUUUAAGCCGAAGAGGUCCGGACUGUUGGUAACCUAUUUUUUCAGUUCUCUGUUCUUUCCUCUCGAGCGAACAUGGACUUGUGCAUACAUACUAAUCGAGAAUGGUUGUUCAGAAACUCGUAGUUGGGAAUGGGCUUUUGGAUCAUCUGUGAGCCGAAAGUAGUAAAAUAUGCUUGUUAGCCAUAGAUUCUAUGGCCGAACGCUUCCUGCUACAGUAUAUGAUCCAUAAAAAUAAACGAGAAACAUGCAGGCUGCAGCAUAUUCUCUAUUCAUGUUUUGCACAAAAGUCGCACAAGUUGGCCACACAUGUCAUUACUCUCAUUUACUCCACACAGAAAAAGACACCAUGAUGCCGACUAAACACGUUCUAAGUGGCCACAACGAGGGGUUGAAAACUACUGACAGAUUCUUUUUGAACGGUCUGAAAGAAAGUGCAUUUAUUUAAAUAAAUCAAGUCUCACUCCAAUCUCAAGAAACUCCUCCCACCUCCUGCAGGAUUCCCUUCCCAUGAUAUAUCAAUUCCUCAUUUGAGAACUUUUUCAACUCUUGAAGAUUUCUCCUUCCGAUCUCUUCUGCCCGGAUCCAUUGAAUGGCAGUAUCGCUAGCGCCAGUUUGGUGGAGAAAUGGAAGUGAUGGAUGCUGGAAAAUCACUGAAAGUAUGGCGUAUAACAUCGGCAGCUCAAUCCCAAACUUUUGGACUUUUGGAAUUGAUGGUCUUUGGAAUGGAUGGUUUUGGGAAAAGUUUUUGUUAUUUAGUUGGAUGCAGAACAGAGCUGGGAGUUGUUCUGCAACGACAAAAUCCCUGGAGGUUGAUGGCCGUGAGGACAUGACAAUAGAGGAAUCCUACUCCUACAGGGAACAAGUUUUGAAGAGUGAAGGUUUUGACAUUAAUGUACUCACAGCUUGCAAUCGACGAAUACAACCAUCGCUUCAAUGAUGCAAAUGUAGAGUUGAGUUUAUGAAGGUUUUAUACCCUUGAGGCUAGAGAUCUUGCUGAUGGUGGCAAGACUAAGACCUACCAAGCUGUGGUAUUAUUAGAAGUACGCUAUAAGAUUACAUUGUCAUCCUUUAAGAUAAAACCUACCGAAGAUGAGAAAGGUUACAGUCACAAAAAAGAAUGGUUUUGGGAAGAUACUAGGAAAUGUCAUAUACUUAAGAGUUUGAUCAGAAGAUUUUUUAGAGGUUCAAGCUUAUGGAGUUUAAGAAGUUGUUUGAAAUAUGACUUACACAAGCUAAAUGAAAUGGAAAGUGUUACCUUAAGUGUUUAUUUAGUCUUGGAAUGCUAACAUACUAUUGCAGUCAUGGGAAAGAAAGGUUUUGGGAAGAUUAUCUUUGCAAUGGUCAUAUACUUGGAGUUUGAUCAGAAGAUUUGGUGUCAAGCUUAUUGAGUUUAAGAAGGUUGUUUGAAAUAUGACUUGUAAAAGUUAAAUGGAAAGUAGUACCUUUGGUGGUUAUUUAGUCUUGGAAUGUUGGUAUACAGUUGCUUGCUUAAUUGUGUUUGAAAAACUGCUGUAUUCUAUGCGGGCAGCUGCAAUGUAUGGUAACUCUCUUCCAUGAGAUUAUGGAACGUGCUUUUGUCAAAAAAAUAAAAAAUCAUGACUUAUCAAA
Carya illinoinensis is the source of this 2126-nucleotide long non-coding RNA. RefSeq lists it as uncharacterized. The transcript has 2 exons. The record is from RefSeq and is a predicted model, not a curated record. NCBI's taxonomy places the organism in Eukaryota, Viridiplantae, Streptophyta, Magnoliopsida, Fagales, Juglandaceae.